GGAAACUUUCGCUCUGUCUCUUCGCACGUGAAUCUUGAUAUUCCUUUUGCCGGGCUAGAGAGCAUUUCUUCUCAACUGUGUCGAGCCUUCACUGGUUGAAUCCUCGCUGAUCAAACUCUUGAAGGAGACAAGUAAAGCACUUAUUCUAUUUUUGGCCCCUACUAGGUAGUACUGUAGUAGGUUUUUUAAGAUGUUUUCUCGGAGAUCAUAAGGAAUUUCUUAUACUGGCACUCCCUUUAUCCAGUAGAUUCUGUAGGCAAACCUACUACAAAAUGAGUUUGUUGUGGUACUAGUUCUUCAUCCCUUCUGGCAAUAGAUCUGAAUGUAUAGAGUGGUGUGGCCUAGGGAAAGAGCUUCAACUCCAAGGACUCCCGUGCUACUUUGACCUUGCUUUACCCAUCCACUACCACUUAGAAGAUUUUUAAAAGUUUAGUAGAAUUUAGUUUAGGAGAUGAUUCAAUUUCUAGGAUGAAUAGUUUGGCGUUUGUUCUAAAAUUAAGAAUAGAUCAAUCAUAUUGUGACGAUGCAACGUCUGUAUGGUAACAAAACCACAAAAUUAUUCAAUGAUUGAUUCUUGAAGAAGCAAUACACAUGUAUUGAAUCAGAGCUUCUUGCAACUUGGUGAAUUAUUGUCCGUAUUGACAAAAAUUGCUUACAUGAUAUGCAAGAUUCCUCAGAGAUGUGAAAAUUCAAAAUCAAAAUGAUAGCAAGGGAUUAUGUGGCUAGGCUUUUUCCAUUGAUUGCAGCCUUUUGAAUUGGCAAGUGUCGAAGAAUAACUUCAUUCAGAAAAUAAAAAAAUGUAAAAGAUGUUGGGGUUUGUUGGGUUAUUUGGGUACAAAACUGAACCUUUCAAAUCCUUUGAGCUAUUUGCAGAAUUACAGACCGUGGGGAACUGGCAAUCUAACAAGAUAAUGGACGUACUGAAUCGAUAUCGAUCUACACUGUCCCAAUUUGGCUACCUGGGCUUUGUCUGGCCGUUGCUUUUUUUAUCGAUACUGAAACGUGUUAAAGCUUUCAACUUUUGGCCUUUUCUUUUGAUAAUUUUUGAUGUUGCAUUUUGUGGUUCACAUCGUGGUACGACUGCAGCAUCAUUGCCGC
This 1098-nucleotide long non-coding RNA is filed under the name Citrus sinensis (sweet orange). RNAcentral's name for it is "long non-coding RNA (CSIN_LNC004734)". The record is from RNAcentral. Lineage: Eukaryota; Viridiplantae; Streptophyta; Magnoliopsida; Sapindales; Rutaceae.